CUCAGAACAGCAAUAGAGUUUGCUUCUGUAAACCAGGUUUUUAUUGUACUGGAAGAAACGAUUAUGAAACAUACUGCCAUAAACCAUGUGUUCCCUGUGGAAAAGGCACAUUCUCCAGCAAACCAUCUCUGGAAGACUGCAAUCCUCAUACAGAUUGUGCUCGGUUGGGAAUGAUAAUGCUCAAAGAGGGCACAGCGACACAGGACAGAGAGUGUAUGAAUGUCACAACAGUGAUGCCAGCCUCGUUCACUACCACCACUUUUAAUAGCACUUCCAUCCCCAUGACAGGGGUCACUGCACAACUCGUAGACACGGCAGAAGAAAUCCAGUCCCAUUGGUUGCUGCUAUUAAUCUUAAUGUUGAUAAUCUUGUUCAUGGCUGGAUUCUGUAUUCUGAUGAAAGACGUGGCAAAGAAAACCCUUUUUAAAUGGUUUGGUAUGAUAUAAAGACUAAAUGCAGUGGAUCUUUUGAAUACUUCAGAAUUGAAUAGGGCUAGAAAUGAACACAAAUAACACAACUCUGCAAUGAUGCUGUAUUUGUCAGCAGUAAUUGUUUUUGUAUUUUUCAAAAACGAAAUCUAAACCCAAGAAGCUCCUUUUGGAACCACAGCAUUGUAUUGUCAUGUCUAAAGUGCCGUGUAGUGGCUAUAAGUGGCCUGGAAUCCACCCAGAUCACUUCUUACAGUAAAGCGUAUUGCAUUGUCUCUCACGUGUUUUAAUUCCCAUAAGGUCAGAUUCAACAUAAACAUUCACGGUGUUUCAGAAUGACACGCAUUUAAUACAUCCAUAACAGCCUGAGAAACCACAGAACGCCUAAGCACGUAACAAACAGUUCACACAAUCACUGUUGCACCUACUUGAGCUGCUCACACCGUCUGACAUAUGCAGCAUAUUGACUUAUUUCUUGUUUUCAUUUUAGGUUUUAUAAACAGACAACAUGAAGAUUAUCAACCCUGGAGUCAAACUGCAGCUGACAAUAAAAUUUUGUCCAAUUCCCAAUCCCACACCUUGAAGACCAAAAUACCAGUCGGCAGUGGUGGCAGAGAGGUCAAAGGUCAGAGUACGGGGCCGAUGCCCCAAUCUGGGACUGUGCAGCAGGUCACAAUGGAGCACAAUGGGAAGGGUGAGAACGUCAGCAAUACUGUUGGGUCCAUCUACAUCUACUCUCCUGGAAUGGUGAUUUUGGGCUCCAACUCGAGUGAUAAAAAGGAAGAGGCAGGACUUUGCGAAGAAGGCGUUCCCCUCAUCAGCAGACCGCAGCAAGAGUCAAAUCCACCCUCGCAAGAGGUCAGAAUCAGAAUAAGCGCACAGGAAGAGGCUGAGGAGGAACUGAGCUUGAGUUUUCCUGUGCCGGCAACUGAAAAGUGAGAACUCGAACAUGUGGUUUCUUGCAUGAACUUCAGAAUGGCGUUCAGGAAGAUUCCAGGUUGAAUCACAAGGCUGAAAAGUCACAAGAUGCCAGAUUUCAGAUUCCUGGUAAAGCAUGGCAUCAGCAAUGCCCAAGUCAUGGUUUCAGUUCCAGAUAAACAUGCACGCUGACUAAAUGUACAGGCUACCUUGAUUGCACUGUAUGUCAAAUACCGAAUGCACAGAUGUACCAGAUGGAAAACUCUGAGUAAUGAUUUUAGCUUUUUUGCGCAUCAAGAAAAAGAUUUAUGCUUAAUUUAAGUUAGUCAGUUUUUAUAAAUGCACAUGUCUGAAUUGCUGCUGCAGCAAAACUGGGACAAAAACAAGCAUGAAGACUGUGCACAGGAGGUACAGACAAAAGAAGAAAAACACCCUCAAAGGUGUUAGGAGUUUUCAUAACGUGUGUCCUAUAAGAUAUAGGCAGUAUAAUUGAAACGCACAUGGUGUGUAUGAAUUGUUUUAUUGUUUAAGUGAGUGGUCGAGAACCUAACGACUACAUCUAUAUGUUUCUAAACAGACUUUUGCUCUACCGUGUGGGUGUUUCAUAUGCAUGUCUAAAAAAUACCCAACCUCACCUUCGGAAAGAAGUGUCUGAUUUGACUGUUGUAGGAGGUCGAGUCGGGACGGACUGCGUUGACCCUGCAACCUUUACAGAACAUGAUCAAAAUGACAUUUCUAGUGUUGCAGUAGAAGAUGCUUCAUACAUCUCAGUCACAUCCUCCAUUCACUUGAGCUUGUGUCAUUUUGCUUGUUUUUUUUGUUUUUUUGUAAAUUUGUCAAUGAAUGUGUUCUGAUGCUUUAUUAACAUGAAUUCAAUCAAAUCCAUUCCUUCAACAAUUACAGAAUCUCUCUCUCCCCCUCUAUCUUUCUAUCGUUCUAUCUACCAUUCUUUCAGUCAUUCUGUCUAUUGUUCUAUCAUUCUAUUUACUAUUCUUUCUAUCAGUCGUUCUUUCUGUCAUCCUGUCAUUCUUUCUAUCUAUCGUUCUGUCAUUCUUUCAAUCAUUCUGUCUAAUCCAGUGGUUCUCAACCCGCGGCCCGUCACGAAUUCAAAUGCGGCCCACGUGCUGAACACAAUUUUAAAAAAUUACUUUGUUUUACAAUUCAUUUUGGUUUUUACAUUAAUUUAAAAAUGUACUAAAUAAAUAUAAGCUAUAGCCUAAUGUUUUAUGUCAAAUAAUUUUGUUUUUCAUAUAUUAUUUUCAGACAUGAGCAGUACUCACAUAGUCUAAUUAACGUUACGAAUU
This 2650-nucleotide long non-coding RNA is filed under the name Sinocyclocheilus anshuiensis. RNAcentral describes it as "lncRNA (ENSSANG00000011457.1)". The record is from RNAcentral. Lineage: Eukaryota; Metazoa; Chordata; Actinopteri; Cypriniformes; Cyprinidae.